This 567-nucleotide long non-coding RNA is filed under the name Homo sapiens (human). RNAcentral's name for it is "non-protein coding lnc-HEATR6-1:12". The record is from RNAcentral. Lineage: Eukaryota; Metazoa; Chordata; Mammalia; Primates; Hominidae.
AGGACCCAGGGUACACAGGGUGGGUGGCUAUUCUCCAGAAAUGUCAGUUUCUGGGCAGGGCUUAGGUGUCUGCAGUCCCUAGUCCCACCCCUGGCCUUGCAUUCCAGCUCAGCGGGUGGAAGGUAUAAAUUUCAGCUGCUCUCAGCCCUGCUGUGUUUUUCCAAAGCCUUCCAACAGCAACAUGAAGUUGGCAGCCUUCCUCCUCCUGUGAUCCUCAUCAUCUUCAGCCUAGAGGUACAAGAGCUUCAGGCUGCAGGAGACCGGCUUUUGGGUACCUGCGUCGAGCUCUGCACAGGUGACUGGGACUGCAACCCCGGAGACCACUGUGUCAGCAAUGGGUGUGGCCAUGAGUGUGUUGCAGGGUAAGGACAGAUGAAGAGUUAUCUUAAGGAUCAUCUUUCCCUAAGAUCGUCAUCCCUUCCUGGAGUUCCUAUCUUCCAAGAUGUGACUGUCUGGAGUUCCUUGACUAGGAAGAUGGAUGAAAACAGCAAGCCUGUGGAUGGAGACUACAGGGGAUAUGGGAGGCAGGGAAGAGGGGUUGUUUCUUUUAAUAAAUCAUCAUUGUUA